Molecule: non-coding RNA, 331 nt
Organism: Taeniopygia guttata (zebra finch)
Lineage: Eukaryota; Metazoa; Chordata; Aves; Passeriformes; Estrildidae
Source: RefSeq, a predicted model, not a curated record
UCCAGUGUUUGGCUCGGGACCAGCCAGGCUCAGAUUCUAUUUAUGACAAAUAACCAUUGUCUCAACAAUCCCAGAAGGAUUUCUUUUUUGUCUCCUCCUGGUGCCGUGGCCAUUGUGGCAUGAUAGGGGCAUUUCUAACAAAAAAAAGCACAUUCUCUGGAUUUUAUUCAGAGUGGGGUUAAAUGUUCUCCCAGCACUCAAGCCAGAAAACAAGACAGCCUUAGAAAGUCCUGGAACAGGAGAACUUGAUGCAACCAUGGGGAUGACCAAUAAAGCACAUUGUUUUUGGGGAUCCCAGUUAUAAAUAUAUAGAAGUUAAUAAAUAAAGGGA